GUGCUCGCUUUGGUAGCACAUAUCGUAAAUUAGAAAGAUAUAGAGAUUAGCAUAGUCCAUGUGCAAAGGUGACAUGUAAAUUUAUGAAGCAUUCUAUAUAUUU
RNAcentral lists this small nuclear RNA (103 nucleotides) under Propithecus coquereli (Coquerel's sifaka). Lineage: Eukaryota; Metazoa; Chordata; Mammalia; Primates; Indriidae. The record is from RNAcentral.